RNAcentral lists this small RNA (94 nucleotides) under Leminorella richardii. RNAcentral describes it as "t44 RNA". It matches the Rfam family "t44 RNA", at positions 13 to 95 of the family's 95-position model. From Rfam's summary of the family: This family consists of a number of bacterial RNA genes of between 135 and 170 bases in length. The t44 gene is found between the map and rpsB genes in all species in the full alignment apart from Shigella flexneri. Lineage: Bacteria; Pseudomonadati; Pseudomonadota; Gammaproteobacteria; Enterobacterales; Budviciaceae. The record is from RNAcentral.
CGUUAUAACACACACGUAUCGGCACAUGCGGCGGGGUGCUUUAAAGCGUUUAUUCGCUUUGGGGUCGGCGUUAUGGGAUACGUGGAGGCAUAAC